This is a long non-coding RNA of Dromiciops gliroides (monito del monte), 479 nucleotides long. RefSeq lists it as uncharacterized. NCBI's taxonomy places the organism in Eukaryota, Metazoa, Chordata, Mammalia, Microbiotheria, Microbiotheriidae. The record is from RefSeq and is a predicted model, not a curated record. The transcript has 4 exons.
CAAAGAUGGCUGCUAGAAGUAUGGAUGCUCAGAUGGGGGCGACUCUUCCAGGUUUAGCUCUUGGAUCAUGCUCAUGAGAGAUCUGAGUGCCUUAGCAGGUCAGAGCACCUCAGAUUGGAUGUUGUAGGGCAAUGGGGGUUAAGUGACUUGCCCAGGGUCACACAGCUGUCCCUCAGGCUUGACAUCUUGGAGGUGUCUUUGGUUAGAAGCAGCCAAGUGUUGUGGAUGAAGUUCUGGACUUGGAGUCUAGGGAAGAUGGGAAUUCAUCAUCCAGCUUCAGAUAUUUCCUAUUUGGAUGACCUUGAGGAAGAAAGUCCAGGAGGACUCACAGGAACAUUGACAUCGAGGUGGACAGUCUGCUUUUGAGUCAGAAGGACCUGGAUUCAAAUCCUGCCCCUGCUAUUUGGCAGCCUUGUAACAUUAGCAAGUCACUCCUCCUUUGUGAGCCUCGGUUUCAUCAGGUACAUUAGAGGAUAAUU